RNAcentral lists this long non-coding RNA (10479 nucleotides) under Triticum aestivum (bread wheat). Its description in RNAcentral is "long non-coding RNA (TAES_LNC023423)". Lineage: Eukaryota; Viridiplantae; Streptophyta; Magnoliopsida; Poales; Poaceae. The record is from RNAcentral.
CUACUAGGGAAAAGCCUAUACACAGAAUCUUAGCAGCAGCGCAGUUCAAAAUAGAGCGCUGCUGGUAAGUAGUUGUAGCGCGCUUUGCGUAAACUCGCUGCUGCUAAAUAUUUAGCAGUAGCGCGCUCGGCCAGAAACAGUAUCAGUAGUUGUAGCGCGCUUUGCGUAAACUCGCUGCUGCUACAAAUAUCGACCGGCGGUGUUCCCCCACCUCUAAGUAGCAGUAGCGCGGUCCCAGAAACAGCGCUACUGCUAAGUGCAUAGUAGUAGCGCGGUUUCCUCGAGAUCGCUGCUGGUAAGUUUCAAAUUGCCGCCAUUUUUUGUCCCAGUUAGCAGUAGCGCCUUACCUGAAAGCGCGUUGCUGCUAAGUUUUUAGCAGCAGCGCGGUUUCUCACCAGCGCUACUGCUAACCCCAGCAACCCCCAAACCGUCCCUCCCCUCCCCCUUGCUUUUUUCCCUUCCCCCUACCUCCCCCUCUCCUCUCUUCCCUCCACCACAUGCUCCCACUCUCACUUUUUUUCCCUUCCCCCUACCUCCCCCUCUCCUCUCUUCCCUCCACCACAUGCUCCCACUCUCACUCUUCUUCUUCUCAAUACUUCUCCCCCAUUACUCCCUCUCUUCUCUAUCCACCUUCUCUCUCUUCAUUACUCCUACAUAACUACACCACCUCCAUUAAUACAUCUCCUUUCUCUUUUUCCUUCCCCCUCCACUAGUUGAAGUUGUCUCCUUCCAAAUUAGGUAGCUAGGUAGAUGUAGGAUUUAGUUAAGUGACCUAUUUGCCCCCUAACUAGAUCUAUCUUUGUCAAGAAGAGCUUAAUUUGUGCACUUUUGAUCUCCCUACAACAUCAUCUUCGGCCAUCAAGAUAGAGGUGAUGAAACUUUCAUGCUUUUGCAAAAUGGAAAUGUGUUUAUGUGUGUGUGAUAUGUUUGUGGAAAUUGUGUGUGUGGCAUGAGUUGACGCCGCCAAAUUGUGCUUUUGAGUUGCCUAUGUUUUGCCGAAAUGUCGAUUUAUUUCCGUUUCGGCGAAUUCCGGGCAAACUCUAGAUCCAUAUAUGUCCUAUUUUUAGGGAAGGUCAUGCCAAAUUUUUUUAUGACUUUGAUGCAUGCAUGCAUUUUUACAAUCAAUUUUUUUAUUAUUACCGUGCAGAGUUGACGAUGGUCAGUGGAACGAUGGUGGACAGGUGGUUGCGGUCGGCGGUGCAAGACAUGAAAGAAAAUAACCGGACAGAGGUUUUAUGUCCGUGUCAAAAAUGCAAAGGAAUAGUUUGGCUCGACCCCCAUGACGAUGGUCGUGUCGAAGCGCACCUGCUCAUGACUAGUUUCAUGGAUGGCUAUACUAGGUGGAUAAUUGAAGAUGAGGAUGACGAUGUUGAGGAUGCCGACGGGGCAGGAAAUGAUGACACGGGGCAAGACGAAGAGAUGAUCGAUAAUGGCGGCGGGGAAGAGGCCGGACAUGGCGGUGGAGAAGGGGCCGGACAUGGCGGAGGAGAAGGGGCCGGACAUGGCGGCGGAGAGAACGACAUGGACUCCACGCAGCAGAGUUCGUCGGUACUAAGUUCAAUUGUGCGGGACCCUCAUGUUCAAGCAUUGCUUCGCAAGGAGACGAGUACUGAGAGAGCUGCUUCUAGAGAGGAGGCUAAGCUGGAGCAACUGGUGGUAGACUCGAACACUCCAUUGUAUGAUGGUUGCAAUCCUGAGGUGACCCGGUUGAGUUUCACGCUCCAACUCCUGAAGACGAAGGCUAAAAACAAAUGGACCGACACUAGCCUCGAUGAGCAUCUCAAGUACCUAAAGGAUGUUCUUCCCGCGGGUAAUCUAUGUCCUACUAGUGUUGAUGAGGCCAAGAAGAUCGUGUGCCCUCUUGAUCUGCCACACGUUAGAUACCAUGCAUGCAUCAACGAUUGCUUAAUUUAUCGGAAGGAGCACGCGGAAAAAACAAGCUGUCCGGUGUGCAAUGCUUCUCGAUACAAGAAGGCCGGGAAGAAAUGUCCCCAGAAAGUUGUAUGGUACUUACCGAUCACUCCCCGUCUCCAGAGGUAUUUUGUAGAUCCCAAGGAAGCAAAGCUAAUGCGCUGGCACGCGGAGAGGAAGAAGCCUGACGAUGGAGAUGAUCCGAAGCUGAGACACGUGAAGGAUGGAAGCCAGUGGAGAGCGUUGAACAGCUUCUAUCGGUAUUUUGAAUGUGAUGCAAGGAACAUCGUGCUCGGCGCGUGUACCGAUGGCAUGAAUCCGUUUGGCAACCAGAACACCAACCAUAGUACAUGGCCCGUGUUUGUAUGGAUGUACAACCUCCCCCCCUGGUUGUGCAUGAAAUCGAAGUACAUUCACAUGAGAAUGUUAUUCAAGGGCCCAAACAACCAGGAAAUAAUAUUAAUUUGUAUCUGGGGCUACUUCAAGAGGAGUUAGACACGUUAUGGAAAACACCGGCCAAGACAUGGGACGCCAGCAAAGGUGAGUAUUUCAACAUGAGAGCCGCGCUGAUCACGACAGUGCAGGACUAUCUCGGUUACGGAUAUGUGGCAGGCCAGGUGUGCCAUGGAUAUUGCGGAUGCACGCGGUGCAUGGAUGAUACAACGUCUCAGCAGCUAACGUCAAGGAAAGAUGGCGGGUCUGGGAAAAUCGUGUACAUGGGGCAUCGAAGAUGGCUUGAACAGGACGACCCGUGGAGAAACCGUGGAGAUCUAUUCAAUGGUCACGCUGAGCAUCGAGGACCUCCACGUAAGCGGAGCGGUGCCGAAAUCGAUGAGCUGUUGAAAAACUGGAAUGAGUGCCCCGCGCCGGGAAAGACGAUGAGAAAGGCGCCAGAGCCGCUGCUGAAGGUAUGGAAGACGAGGUCUGUGUUCUGGGACUUGGAGUACUGGCACAAACUCGAUACACCUCAUUGCCUAGAUCAAAUGCAUAUCUGUAAGAAUGUCCUUGAGAGCUUGCUCGCAACACUGAUGAACAUGCCGGAUAAGACCAAGGAUGGGCCGAAGGCAAGAAAAGACUUGCAAGAUUUGAAAAUCAGGGAAGAUCUGCACAUGCCGCCCCGUAAAAUGUCAGACGAGACAGAGACGGAGACAGAGGCACGGGAGAAGAAGGGCAAGAAAUUAAAGAAAGAAGAUUAUUGCCCCCCCUCUUGCUUCACCUUAAGUCAGGCUGAGAUCAAUCAAUUCUUUAAGUGCCUUACGGGAGUGAAAGUUAGUUCCGGUUACUGUGGCAAGAUAAGCAGAUAUCUAGACACGGACAAGAAAAGGUUCAGCGGGAUGAAGUCUCAUGACUGUCAUGUGAUGAUGACGCAGAUACUACCUGUUGCCCUUAGAGGGAUAAUGGACAAGCACGUCCGUGAAACGCUUAUUGGUCUCUGCAACUUUUUUGACGUCAUCUCUCGAAAGUCGAUCAGUGUGAAGCAGCUCCAAAGGCUACAGGAAGAGAUCGUUGUGAUACUGAAUGAGCUUGAGAUGUACUUCCCGCCCGCGUUCUUCGACGUGAUGGUGCAUCUGUGUGUCCAUAUUGUGGAUGACAUAAUAGACCUGGGGCCGUCAUUCCUGCACAACAUGAUGCCGUUUGAGAGGAUGAAUGGGAUCAUCAAAGGAUUCGUUCGUAACAUGUCCCGUCCGGAUGGAAGCAUCGUCCAGGGCUAUUUGGCACAAGAGUGCAUCUCUUUCUGUGAGAAUUUUCUAUAUGGUGCAGACCAGCCGCCUGGUGUUAGUGUUGGUUUGCCCGUUAACAAGCACGAUGGGAGGCUCGAAGGAGAUGGUCACUGUAACGGUCGCAGGGAACUGCACGUGGCAUACUCAGAUCGACGCAGCGAUUUUGACAGAGCAAACUUGGUAGUGCUACAACACCUAGACGAGGUAGAUCCUUUCGUGGCACUGCACAAAGAAAUUAUCGCAAAGAAGUAUCGUGAUCGGGGGGUAUGCAGGACGGACGCCGAAGUUACUAGAGAGCACAACUCCACUUUCCUGCAUUGGUUCAAAGAGCAUAUUAUUGCUAAUCCCCCGGAGGAGGGCUCUAAGGACGGAUUGCUCAUAUACGCCUUAGCACAUGGCCCCUCGCCCAACCUCGUAACCUAUCAGGCAUAUGAUAUCAACGGAUACACGUUCUACACGGAGGCAAAAGAUAUGGACAGUGAUGAUCAGAACUCAGGGGUGACGAUGGAAUGCAUGACCGGCAGCGACAACGGCACAACUGAACGAUUUUAUGGAAGGGUCGAGGAGAUCUGGGAGCUUGACUACUCUGGACUGCACAACACGACGAUGUUCCGUGUCAGAUGGGCUAAGAAUGUCGAAAGAGAAAGACGGAUGUUCACUACCAUGACUAUACCCGACGCCAAGAGUGCUACCGUCAACGCUAUCGCAAAAAACGAGCCAUGGGUACACGCUAAGCACGUGACACAAUGCUUCUUCAUAACUGACUCGCGCAAUCCCAGCCGUGUUGUCGUGAGGAGAGGCAAAAAGAACAUCAUUGGAAUGGAUGGAGUCGCCAACGAGGAAGACUAUGAUCAGUACGGCAACCCAAUGAGGGAAGAUGACGACGAUGAUGAAGUAUACGUCAAAAGAAGAAUCAAUACUACGUUACCUAAGAAAAAUCGCACUCCAUGGAAAAGGCAAAGUCACAAUGAGGGGCUCAAUUAUUCUUCGACGAACAAGAAGGGAAAGAAGCUGACUCAAAAACGAAAACGUCAGCACUGAGGAAACGUAUGUUAUGGGUCCAAUGAUGUGUAAUAGAUAUAUGUUCCUAUUUUGUAUACACACUUAGCCAUAUGAUGUGUAAUAUAUAUGUUCCUAUUUUGCAUACAUAUUUAACCGUCAAAUGAUGCAAUAUAUAUCGCCCUCCCUUCGUUCACUGCCCUCGGGAAAUAAAAGUGGGAUAAAAUAAAGGAAAAGAAAAAUGAAAACUGGCAGUAGCGACGGCAGUAGCAGCGCGUUUCCACAAAACCGCUGCUGCUAUAUACCAUAGUAGCAGCGCGUUUCUUAUAAACCGCUGCCGCUACAUACCAUAGUAGUAGCGCGUUUCCACAAAACCGCUGCUACUACAUACCAUAGUAGUAGCGCGUUUCUGCAUAACGCGCUACUGCUACGUCCACUUAACCCAAAAUUUUCACUCGCGCAGCUUCAUCCCGCCACAUUUCCCCCCAAAUCCCCACUCUCUCUCCCGUCGCUCCACCGCGCCCCCGUCGCUCCGCCGCGCCCGACCCGGCCCCGGCGCUCGCCCCCGACUCCGCCGGNNNNNNNNNNNNNNNNNNNNNNNNNNNNNNNNNNNNNNNNNNNNNNNNNNNNNNNNNNNNNNNNNNNNNNNNNNNNNNNNNNNNNNNNNNNNNNNNNNNNNNNNNNNNNNNNNNNNNNNNNNNNNNNNNNNNNNNNNNNNNNNCGGCGCGCUCGCCCCCGACCCGUCGGCCCUCGCCUCCCUCCUCGCCCCUGCACUCUCUGUAAACUCCCCCCCUCUCUGCUAGGGUUCAUGUUAAUUAAUUAGGUUAUCUAUUUAGUUAUGAAUUUAGCUAGGUUUCAAAAUUAGCUGAAUUUAUAUGGAAAUUUGAACUGGACAUGUGAUAUGUGCAUAUGUCAUGUUUUGGACAUGUCAUGUUUGGAAAAUGAUCCGAGUGGCCUAUGUUACGCCGAAAUGUUGAUUCAUUUCCGUUUCGGUGAAUUUCAGGCGCUCGAUAUGUCCAUUUUUUAGCAAAGGUCAUGCCGAAAUUUCCCAUGAAUAAAGGCAUGAUUUGUGCUACAUAGUUGGCAUAUCGAGUGCUGGCACAUAGAUUUCUUUUUACGUCAUUUCUCAUUUAUUCAUACUUUUAGAAAUAAAUGAGGCCACUUAAUCAUAGGAAACAUGUCGAACAACGAAGAAACUGGGCCUUCUGACCAAGAUGCAGACGAGAUGGAUUAUGAUGGUGAACAAGAGUACCUCGACUAUUUGACUGCUAAGCAAGGUUUGCAGGUCGGCCUCGAUGAUGGUACUGACGCCGACAUCGACACCGACGGCGCCGGCACCGACGGCGCCGGCACCGAUGGCGGCGCCGAGACCGGUGGGGAAGGUACCGGCGGGGAAGGUACCGGCCUCGAUGCCGAUACCGAAAAGAGGAAGCAUAAGAAGCAGAGGAUAUGAAAACCUAACAAACUAGGGAUUGGACGACUUGUGAUCACAAAGAUGGCACCUGGCAAGUUUGAGCCGUUAUAGCCGGAAGAACCUCGCAAGUGCUAUGGGAACCAAGUAGGAUGCAUCCUACGGGAAUGCGCGAGCAUCAACGACGAUGACUUAAGGAGUAAAGAACAUUUGACGCAGUUGCUCCUAACGAAGUUGCACAAGAGAUUCAAGUUCCCCGACCGGGAUGAUAACAUAGAACAACCGUGGGAUGAUCCGAAGAUGAAAAAGAUUAACAAUCACGCCAUGGGCAUGUUCAGCAAUGAUUUGGCCUCCUGGAAAGGGAGGGUGAAACGAGCUAUUGAGGCUGAUGAACCCCUGUCCAAGAUUCUGGAGGAAAAUCCGACACUUACGGAAGAGGAGUUCGAAAAGUUCAAGGACACUUGCGCUACCGAGGCAGCCAAGGCUAAGGCUGCGAAAUUCAAAAGCCUUCAGCUCCGGAACACGGGGAAGCAUCGCCUCGGAAGCCGUGGCUACCUCGGUAAAAGGCCCAUAUGGGAUAAGGAGGACGCGGAACGUGAAGCCGCGGGUCUCCCAGACCCCUUCGCGAAGUUCACCAACCCCUUGGAGCAUGACUUCAUUAGGGCCCGCUACAAGUGGGACAAGGAGAAAAAGGUUUUUUACACGGACAAGAUCACGAGGAAAUUGAUUAGACUACUGGAGAAGCAACACCGGCUUGCAGCCGAAAGCCCUACUUCUCCGAUGAGGCCCAAGUGGGACACCCCUCUCAACCGGGCCUUGAACGAACUUAAGGGACUCCCGUUGGACCAGCGGCCGCAAUAUGGUCGUGUGCACGGCGCUGGAGACGGCGCCACGUGGAAGGUGUUUUACAACGACGGCCCGGAGGCCAAGAAGCAGAAAAAGAAGUUUAGUCAGGCAGACAUCGACGCAAAGGUGAAGCUUGCGGUCGAGAAAAAAGCAGCUGAGGACGCGAAAAAAGCAGCCGAGGACAAAUAUGAGUUGCUACAGCAGGCAGUCAAUGCAGCUGUAACUGCCUGCAGAAAUGAUUUCGCUACUAACUUGGUUCCAGUUAUCAUCAACUGGGCGAAGGAAAAUCCAGACAAGACGGUACAUGAUUUCCCGAUGCCCAGUUUCGUCGCGAGCAACUCCAUGAACAACAACACCAUCGCACCAUCACUUGCUCAAGCAACCGAGCCUCCUCUCACAGCCGCUCCCGCUCAUAGCAGCCCGUCCUCAGUCUCAGGCGCGCUAGGUGGGCCUUCGUCUUUGGCUGAGCUUGACGCCGUCACGGUAAUUACAUGUCGCACCAACAUAUAUAUAUAUAGAUAAUAUUCCAUUUUUGUUGCCUUUCGGUUGUUUUACACCACAAACAUAUGUGUUUGCAGGCGAAAGAAACCCCAUGCACCAUACUCUACUUGAUCAAAGGCCAGAAGGUGGACGUGGGAAAGGGGAUGAUAAUGGACCCCUCUCAACGCACAUUCCACAACCACCCGAUCCCCGCUGGGCACUUCAGGGUUAGCUUGACCAGUGUGAAAUCGGGGCACGAGGAUUUACCUCCUCCAGUACAGCAUGUGGGAGCGGACGACGAGACCCCGCCGCGGAUUGGACGAUGCAAGGGUUGGGUGCUGCUAUGGCCGAAGAAUCUUAUUCGUCUGGAGCCGGCCGAGAGCACACCAAUAACUACCACACAUCAACAAGCAUGUGCGGAGACCACCACCCCACCUACGCAAUUACCAGCUCCUGUAGUAGUGCCGGGUGAGAGCGGCGGACGACAUGAUGAAGGGGGUGCAAUAGUACUGGCUGAUGUACCUGUAGAACAGAGAAUGGAUGAUGAGACGGAGGUCGACCCUAUGGAUUACCUCAAUACAAACGCGUAUGACUGUGACAUAGAUAUGAUGAGUCAACCAUAUGACGAAUCGGGCUAUCAGCUUGCUAAUGAGGAUAUGGAUGAUAUGCCCGGGCAGGGCCGUACCAUGGAAUGCAAAAAGUCUCUCUUCAUGAAAUCCUCACAGGACACGCCUGAAGAUGCCGCCUCAACACAGGCUCAACUAGCCGGGCGCGAGGGUCGUACAGUACUUAGCCCGGGAACACUUGGGCAGGGGUUAAGGAAGGGUCUGGAAGGUGUGCCCAAGAAAAAGGAGAGGAAGAGAUCGGGGAAGGUAACUGCCUCCAAACAAGCCAGAGCACACAGCAGCCAGACGAUGCAUUCUGAAGAGCGUGUACCCGUGAAAGGUGCAGUCAUGUUCCAUCUCACGGGCGAGCCGAUGCUACCGCCGAAACCGCUGGAGGCACUAUCAGGGGAUCUCAGGAGACUGCACGACCAUGUGCUGUCGACUGAGAAAAGCCUACUAGCCUCAAAGGAUCCAGGAUAUCCGACAUACGCGGCUCGUGUGCCUGAGGGGAAGUGCUACGUCGACACACGGCCCGCGGAGGUGUUCUUCCUGCGGUUUGACCAUAUCUUUGAGAUGUUUCUAACAAGGCGGCUUGAUUUUACUAUCGUCCGCCUUUUUGCGCUACAUAUGAGCUCCGUCGUGAAGAGUGAAGAAGUCUCGCAAAUCUGUGUGGCGGAUCCGUACUACAUGCACGAGUCUUUCUUGAGUCUCGGCGACUUUGAGCGUGAAACUGCUAGGGAGUACCUCCAAAACUUCAUGGUACAGAAUAAGGACCGGGAAAUUGUCCUCGUGCCUUAUCAUCCAAAGUAAGUCAGUUCCGGACAACCCUUUCGUACAUUUCAAUCAUUCCUUCUCUCUCAUAUGGGGAAUAAUUUGAGGUGUCUUUUCCCCGCAGCAACGGGCGCGCCGUUCUUAUCGUUCUUUACCCGCAAGUCUCCCACGCCGUGUAUUUUGACCCUUCGAGAGACUACGAGAAAAAGGACUACACCCACAUAAUGAAUAUUCUAGAUGAUGCUCUCCAAGGCUUCAGCUAUAGAGGUGGCCACGUGCAUAUCAGGAAACAAAGGAACAAGAAGAUGGGUUUCGCGCAUAAAACUAACUUCUCCUGCAUCCAUGUCCCAAAACCAAGCAAGAAGGAUGGAUUCUACAUCGUCCAUCUCAUGAUUCAGUUCAACACGGAUCACCAAAAGCUUCGCAUUAACAGCAGAAAUGAUGAUCAUAUCCACAAGUGGCUAGAAUCUCAUGGAGAAGCGAAUUAUAAACUUAGAGAUGACUUCUUUCGCAUCCAAAGCGACAUUGCGACGAUCAUCAUGAAAGAAGUCGUCGAUGAGAAGGGGAUGUUCCACCACGGCCCUAUAUCGCGAGCUGACGUCCGAACUCGCAUAGGCAUGCAACGUCUAGACCUCACGUCGUUCAAGCAGCUAGGGUUCGUCCUCGAUGAUAUGGAAGGAUGGAACUUCUAGUGAGUUAUGAUGCCGAUGAUGAUGAUAUGUGUCGGUUGAACUUGUAUACUUUUUGUAGCGAUGAAACUUUGUGAUGUCCACGGUCCAUGCCGAACUUGCGUAACGCUACUUUGUUAGUUGGCGUACGAUGACCUGCGUACCUCUAGUUAAUUAAUUUGCGUACUGUAUAUGUUGCAUCUAGUUGCUAACCUUUCUUUUUUGGUGUUGCUCUAGUAUAUUUUUUUGCAUAUAUAUGAUUGUACAUCCUCUUCAUGAACAUGCAUCUCUAACAGGUACCUAGUUUCUUGAUGGCGAGAUGGAAAUGCUAUGUCGUGUACAAAGGGAAGGUUCCGGGGGUGUACAACGAGUGGCAUGAGUGUCAGGCGCAAGUGAAUGGGUUCACGGGCGCCAGCCAUAAAGGCUUCAAAAGUAGACAAGAAGGAGAAGCUAGUUACUUGAGGUUCAAGCUAGCGCGAGAGAGGACUCGUAACGGCCACCUCAUGUACUGCAUGGUUCCGCUCUCACUCAUAGUGAUAGCACUUCUUGCGUAUGCCUUUGUUUAGAUGGAUGACGUUGUUGUAGUUGCAAGUAUUCGAGACUUGCAUGUAUUGCUAUUUUCGAGAUGAUAACAAGAUAUCACUUUGUGUUGGAUGAUGAUUAUGAAGAGACUAUUUGUAUGUACAUGCUAUGAUUACAUUUGUGGUCUCGCAGGCAUUUGUAUGUGUAUCAUGAUGAAAUUUCUAUGUGCUAAAGAUUCUUCUACAAAGCCGGUGCAAAUACAAAACAAAUAUGCCAAAAAAAACUACUUAAAUUAGCAGUAGCGAGUGUACAAAAGUUAGCAGCAGCGCCGUUAUAGCAGUAGCGCGUCCCGCCAAAGAGCGCUAGCGCUAAUAGCGGUAGCGAGCUUCCGGCAACCGCGCUGCUGUUACACUUGUAUAGCAGUAGCGAUGGGGGGCACGCGCUACUGCUAUUAGUUAGCUGUAAUGCCGUAUUAGUAGCGCGGGUACCCGCGCUACUGAUACAUGUAAAACCCGCGCUGCUGCUAGCCUUUUCCCUAGUAGUGU